Molecule: ribosomal RNA, 460 nt
Filed under: uncultured bacterium
Lineage: Bacteria
Description: partial 16S ribosomal RNA
Rfam family: Bacterial small subunit ribosomal RNA
Source: RNAcentral
CCUACGGGUGGCAGCAGUGAGGAAUAUUGGUCAAUGGACGAGAGUCUGAACCAGCCAAGUAGCGUGAAGGAUGACUGCCCUAUGGGUUGUAAACUUCUUUUAUAUGGGAAUAAAAUGUUCCACGUGUGGGAUUUUGUAUGUACCAUAUGAAUAAGGAUCGGCUAACUCCGUGCCAGCAGCCGCGGUAAUACGGAGGAUCCGAGCGUUAUCCGGAUUUAUUGGGUUUAAAGGGAGCGUAGGUGGAUUGUUAAGUCAGUUGUGAAAGUUUGCGGCUCAACCGUAAAAUUGAAGUUGAAACUGGCAGUCUUGAGUACAGUAGAGGUGGGCGGAAUUCGUGGUGUAGGGGUGAAAUGCUUAGAUAUCACGAAGAAAUCCGAUUGCGAAGGCAGUUCACUGGACUGCAACUGACACUGAGGCUCGAAAGUGUGGGUAUCAAACAGGAUUAGAUACCCUUGUAGUC